RNAcentral lists this ribosomal RNA (474 nucleotides) under Triticum aestivum (bread wheat). Its description in RNAcentral is "partial small subunit ribosomal RNA". The record is from RNAcentral. Lineage: Eukaryota; Viridiplantae; Streptophyta; Magnoliopsida; Poales; Poaceae.
AUGGUUAACCAGCUUAGGCCGCUGCUCUCAGAGUUGAUAUCGGAGAACCAAAGUGCUUUUAUCCCGGGCCGGCUUAUCUCGGAUAAUUCUAUCAUUGCCUUUGAGUGCAUUCAUCACAUACAAAAUUUGAAGGGAAACAGUAAUGAUGCGUGUGCAUACAAGCUGGAUUUGUCGAAGGCCUAUGAUCGUGUUGAUUGGGACUUCUUGGAGAAGGCGUUAAACAAAUGGGGGUUCUCAGAUCAAUGGAUUUCUUGGAUUAUGUCAUGCGUGAGAUCAGUACGAUAUUCUGUCAAGUUAAAUGGGAAGUUGUUGGAGGCUUUUACACCUUCGAGAGGACUUCGACAAGGUGACCCAUUGUCUCCUUUCUUAUUUCUCUUUGUUGCUGAUGCUCUUUCUGCUCUCCUGUCAAAAACAGUGAAUGAAGGAAGCUUGAGAGGAGUGACCACCUGUGCACCGGUGAUUUCUCACCUGUGA